CCCUUAGAUGUCCUGGGCCGCACGCGCGCUACACUGAGUGUCUGAGAUAUGAGGCAUGCCUGGUCCGGCAAGGUCUAGGUAAUCACGAAAAGGCACAUCAUGCUUGGGAUUGAUUAUUGCAAAUUUUAAUCAUGAACGAGGAAUUCCCAGUAAGUGCGAGUCAUCAGCUCGCGUUGAUUACGUCCCUGCCCUUUGUACACACCGCCCGUCGCUACUACCGAUUGGGAAAAUUUUAGAGAGUCCUGGACUGAUGAUUGUUCGGCUUCACGGCCUUACUUUCGUCGGGAAAGAAUUCGAUAAUAUUUUUCUAGAGGAAGUAAAAGUCGUAACA
Molecule: ribosomal RNA, 331 nt
Filed under: uncultured eukaryote
Lineage: Eukaryota
Description: partial 18S ribosomal RNA
Rfam family: Eukaryotic small subunit ribosomal RNA
Source: RNAcentral